GCGAAGAAGGACGUGGCUUCCGGCGAAACGUUUCGGGGAGUUGGAAGUAAGCUUUGAUCCGAAAGUGUCCGAAUGAGGAAACUCUAAAACUUAUUACUGAAUCUAUAAGUAAAAAAAGAGCGAACCUAGGGAACUGAAACAUCUUAGUACCUAGAGGAAAAGAAAGUAACAACGAUUCCCUAAGUAGUGGCGAACGAAACGGGAUCAGCCUAAACUUUUUAGAAAUAAAAAGGGUUGUGGGGUAAGAAAGAGAGUGAAUUGAGUAACUUUUAAUAGUGAAAAGAUUUUUCGGAAUCAUUUCAUUAUAAGAAAUUAGGUGAAAUAACUGGAAAGUUAUACCAAAGAAAGUGAUAGUCUUGUAACCGAAAAUUUUUUAAUAAUUCUUUAUUCCCGAGUAGCAUGGGACACGUGGAAUCCCGUGUGAAUCUGCGAGGACCACCUCGUAAGGCUAAAUAUUCCUGGAUGUCCGAUAGCGAAUAGUACCGCGAGGGAAAGGUGAAAAGAACCCCGGGAGGGGAGUGAAAUAGAACGUGAAAUUGUAAGCCCACAAACAGAAGGAGAACGACUUAGCGUUUAACUUCGUGCCUGUUGAAGAAUGUUCCGGCGACUUAUAGUUAGUGGCAGGUUAAGAUAGAGAUAUCGAAGCCAGAGUGAAAGCGAGCUUGAAUAUAGAGCGUUGGUCACUAGUUAUAGACCCGAACCCGGUUGAUCUAACCAUGGCCAGGAUGAAACUUGGGUAACACUAAAUGGAGGUCCGAACCGACUGAUGUUGAAAAAUCAGCGGAUGAGUUGUGGUUAGGGGUGAAAUGCCAAUCGAAACCGGAGCUAGCUGGUUCUCCCCGAAAUGUAUUUAGGUACAGCGGUUAAUAUUAUAGCGUAGGGGUAAAGCACUGUUUCGGUGCGGGCUGGUAACUCGGUACCAAAUCGAGGCAAACUCUGAAUACUACGUGUACAAUUAACCAGUAAGACUAUGGGGGAUAAGCUUCAUAGUCAAGAGGGAAACAGCCCAGAUCACCAGCUAAGGCCCCUAAAUAAUUACUAAGUGAUAAAGGAAGUGGAAAGGCUUAGACAACCAGGAGGUUUGCUUAGAAGCAGCAAUCCUUUAAAAAGUGCGUAAUAGCUUACUGGUCUAGCAAUUCUGCGCCGAAAACUUACGGGACUAAGUAAUUUGCCGAAGCUGUGAGAUAUACUUUUUGUAUAUCGGUAGGGGAGCGUUCUGUUGUAGGUUGAAGUGUUAGCGAAAGCGGGCAUGGACGAAACAGAAGUGAGAAUGUCGGAUUGAGUAACGAAAACAUUGGUGAGAAUCCAAUGCUCCGAAACCCUAAGGUUUCCUCCGCAAGGCUCGUCCACGGAGGGUGAGUCAGGUCCUAAGGUGAGGCUGAGAAGCGUAGUCGAUGGACAAUAGGUUAAUAUUCCUAUACUGAUUUUUACUGGUAUCGAGGGACGAAGAAGGCUAAACUAGCCAGAUGUUGGUUACUGGUUUAAGAAUCGAGGUGUUGAAGAUUAGAGAAAAUAAUCUGAGCUGAGAAACGAAUACAAGAUUGUAAAAAAUCAAAGUAGUUGAUGUCAUACUUUCAAGAAAAGCUCGCUAUGCCUUAAGUAAAAAUCACCUGUACCUUAAACCGACACAGGUAGGGAGGUAGAGAAUACCAAGGAGCGCGGGAGAACCCUCCUUAAGGAACUCGGCAAAAUAGCUCUGUAACUUCGGAAGAAAGAGUGCCUUUUAGGCUGCAAUAUCAAGUUCCAAGCAACUGUUUAGCAAAAACACAGGUCUCCGCAAAGUGGUAACACGACGUAUGGGGGCUGACGCCUGCCCAGUGCCGGAAGGUUAAAGAAGUCGGUUAGCGCAAGCAAAGCUGGUAACUGAAGCCCCGGUGAACGGCGGCCGUAACUAUAACGGUCCUAAGGUAGCGAAAUUCCUUGUCGGGUAAGUUCCGACCCGCACGAAUGGCGUAAUGAUUUGGAAGCUGUCUCAAGGAGGGACUCGGUGAAAUAGAACUGGCUGUGAAGAUGCGGCCUACCUGCGCCUGGACAGUAAGACCCUAUGAAGCUUUACUGUAUCCUGAAAUUGGAUUUCGAUUUUAUUUGCGCAGAAUAGGUGGGAGACAUUGAAACUUUGCUUUCGGGCUUAGUUGAGUCAUUAGUGAGAUACCACUCUGAUAAAAUUAAAAUUCUAACUUCAAACCGUAAGCCGGUUGAAAGACAGUUUCAGGUGGGCAGUUUGACUGGGGCGGUCGCCUCCCAAAAGGUAACGGAGGCGUACAAAGGUUCCCUCAGAUCGGUCAGAAAUCGAUCUUCGAGUGUAAAGGCAAAAGGGAGCUUAACUGUGAGACAAACAAGUCGAGCAGAGACGAAAGUCGGUCUUAGUGAUCUGACGAUGCUGUGUGGAAAGGUCGUCACUCAACGGAUAAAAGUUACUCUAGGGAUAACAGGCUGAUCUCCCCCAAGAGUUCCUAUCGACGGGGAGGUUUGGCACCUCAAUUGGGGGCACAUUUUUAGUAAUAGAAUGUGACAAUUUGGCUAUAUGCUGGAAACUCCGUUCACGAAAAGUGAUGUAGAAUCCUAAAAUACUGCAUCAUCAAAAAUGAUGAAGUAAAAAUUUUUAGGUGCGGACAAUCAGCAGGGAAGUUUACCAUUCUUUUGGUAUAACCCCUCAACGACUACACGCCGAACAACCAAUUUUUUGGUUGAUGAUAUAGUCUGAUCUUUUAGGCGACUAAAAGGGCUUUUAAAAAGCCAUAGAAUUUUAAAGGUUGUUAGAACCUUUGAAUAUUUUAUUAACAUAUUGCGAUGUCGGCUCAUCGCAUCCUGGGGCGGUAGUACGUCCCAAGGGUUGGGCUGUUCGCCCAUUAAAGCGGUACGUGAGCUGGGUUCAGAACGUUGCGAAACAGUUCGGUCCAUAUCCGGCGUAGGCGUUAGAGUAUUGAGAGUGACCUUUCUCUAGUACGAGAGGACCGAGAAAGACAUACCUCUAGUGUACCAGUUAUCGUGCCAUCGGUAGACGCUGGGUAGCUAUGUAUGGUUAGGAUAACCGCUGAAAGCAUCU
This 3046-nucleotide ribosomal RNA is filed under the name Mallomonas bronchartiana. RNAcentral's name for it is "bacterial LSU rRNA". It matches the Rfam family "Bacterial large subunit ribosomal RNA". The record is from RNAcentral. Lineage: Eukaryota; Synurophyceae; Synurales; Mallomonadaceae.